UGCAGAUUUCCUUGUAUCCUCCCUAUGUCUCCAUGUUACAAUGCUACAACGUCGUCUUGACAUCAGGCUCCGCUGAGCUGAUGGCACUGACUUUGGAAAGCUUUCAUGCACUUCAUUACAGCUUUGAAUGGCACAUGCGGUUUUUUGUUUGUUUGUUUUAUUUGUUUUUUUUUUUUUUCCUUCUUGUUGUUUUUCCUCAUUUUAAGGCUCUCCUCUGCUUCGGAAGAAACAUGUUCUGGCAUGCUGAAGUUUGCUAGUGAAAUAAGCUCCUUUCUCGCUUCUCGCUUGCUCUGCUGUUAUUGAUAACCUGUAAAGGAGAUGGAGCUGAAGGUCUGAGUGAAAUGGCGCUUUCAAGAUACAUACUUUUAGCCACAUCAAGCUGAGGAAAAUGCAGUUCUGUGUGAAUUUCAUACGAUGCAUGUGACGCUUUGCAUACCAAAACCGGUGACAAAGGGUCUGCAGGUGAGUCCCCCAGGGACUGCUUUGCGGGGAGGAUUUUUCCAGUCUCUAACCACUGAAGUAUUCAGCUCUCCAACUGCUCCCCAGAGUUGGCGGUUCUGAUUUGCUUCAAUUCAAGAACAGAAAAUGACACGUAAUGAAGUGUCCCCCAGCAAGUAAGCGGUGCCCGUGUGACAAGCAGGGAUGCAAAGGGUUAAGACGCCGACUUGCUUGCUAGGCAAAGUUUGAGGAAGAACAUGUCUUGAGGCUGAGCACGCCGCAGCACCGCGUUUGAAAUCUGUCACCCUCACUUAGGAGCUCCGCAUCUCCGCUUGUCACCGGUGAAUAAUGAUCACGCGGCGAUAAGAUCGCGCGGUGGCGGUGCGCCGGAGCUGCCGGGGGAGAAGCAGAGGGAAAUUACAGGCGUUUAACGUUGCGGAGGGGGUUCCUCGGUCAUCGGCGGUUUCAGGGUCAAACGACCGGCUGGACAGAGGCUUGGGAAGUAUAUUUCCUUCCUCCUUUCCUUGAAAGAAAGCUUGGGCGAUGGUGAUCAUCGGCAGCUAUGGAAAGCAGAGACCUUGGUGGUGAUCCUUAAAACAAUACCAUGCCGGCGCCCGGCUGUUCUGCCACUUUCCCCCCUUGCAACCGGCCGGACCCGGUGGGCUUUGGGUGAUUGCAGGAGACCUCCGCAUGAGCAGAAAGUCUGGCAAAGAACCUGACUAGGCUGCAGUUACAGCAACAGUAAAAGAAAAGAAAAACCUCAGUGGAGAGACAGCACUGUGUGGGUUAAUGUUGGCUAUUCACUCAGAUGAAGCUUCCUGUGAGUGAUAAAAUGCAAGUUGGAUGGUCUCAGUCAAGCUUCUCAUGGAUAGCUGCCCACAUGGGAAUAACAACUACGUAGAUUAGCUGUGUGAAUACUCCAGGACAGGUGUGGGACUGAACUGCAUUGACAGAACUGCCCCAUGGACUGGUGUGUGUGAUGCUUCACCAGAGAGUGAAACACUUCACUGUUCCAUUUCUACCAGCGCUAAAACUCAUUCAAGCUUUUUAAAUUAAUUGGUUUUAAGGAGUUGGAUAAAACUCAUUUUUUUUGUCAGAUUUUCAAGUCUCUUAUUAGACAUUUCAAUAAAAUGAAGUACAAGUGAAAAUUAAAACACUCUGAAUUAUACUUGUCAUCAUUUCUCUCUUGCUCUCAAGAACAAUAUUAUGGCUUCUGAUGAUGCAUCUUUCCUAACAGACCAGGACAAAUAACAAGAAAAUGCAAGUCUUUUAGAGUUUAAGAGGAGACAAUAUGACACAGGGUUCCUCCUACUGAACACAAAAACUUUCUGUUUCUAUCUGAAAUCUAGACACAGCUUACAGUGCUCUAUAUGAAAUGAAAGGUUGUGGACUUCGGUAACGCAACAUUAUUAACUGAGACUCAUUUUUCCAUUCCCUGUUAGUAGUGAAAAGAUUUAUUAUGUAACAGGGAUGAGCCAUUCUUUCACUUCUAUGUCCUCCUCUUCCUCUGUUCUUACAAAGCAAAGCUGAGCAUAAGUCACACUAUGUGUGUCCUUAUAAGAAGCACAUAGCCAGAAACUAACUCUGUACUAUUUUUUCUUGGUGUAAAAAGUGAUAUCAUGAAUGAAAGACAGAAUGAAGAGUAAAUAGCAGGAUUGGAUCAAGGGAACACUGUUGCACAGGUGGACUCAGAAAGCUGCUUGAUAUUAGAUAUAUAGUUCUUGUGUAAAUUAGGGCUGGAAUGGUCCACAGUAGCUUAAUAUCCUCAACAUGAAAAAGAAAACUUCUCUAUUAAGAUACUUGCUAGAGCCAGAACUGUAGAACAAACCGCUUUCCUUAGCAGGAAGGGGAAAGAUUGUGGUUUGGUAUCUGAUACUGCACUAUUUGGGCCCCAUUUGCCUCUGAAUCAAUAAAGAACCCUGCUCUUCAAAUUUCUCACAUGAAGUAAACAUAGAUAUAUAUAUAUUUUUUCCUUGAUUUAACAGGUGACUGAUGAGAUGUUUGGGCUCAAGAUGGUCUAUGGUCACGUUUAUAGCACUGCUGUAGUUAUUUACUGCAUAGUUUAAAGUUUCAGAUUCAUAUGUGGAUGUGGUUAUAUAAUUUACUGAGGCAUCUAUUUAUACCUCAGUUCAUGUUUCUUAUAUCUGUCUCAUAGCAAUUGCUACACCCUUUGCAACUGAAAUAUUUUCUGUGACAUUUUUCAGGCUUGCCACCAUUGCUUUAUCUAAUGAGGCUUGAUUUUCAUAUGCAUGUGACCAGUAUGGGCAUGGAAUAUAACUCUAAAAAAUUUAACCUUCAUCUCAUUGUGCAAAAGGGCUGCAAGCAUAUUGGUUUUUAUCAGUGCAACUCUAGACUUUUGGCACUUGCAUUAAAUUUUAAUUGUUCAGUUUUAGUGAAUUUAAUAAUUUCUCUUGCUACAGGAACUCUAUACUGCAGGAAUGGGGAGAAAAAAUGACAGAUGUCCUCUAUCAAUUUGCUACUUUUUUGGUUCUAUUCAGCUGAUAGUUGUGCAUAUUUUGAUUAUGGUAUUGUCCUAGGAAGAUAAGAACCAUGUAAGGAAAUUGCUUUAAUAUUACUGGACAUAAUUGAGGUCUGCAGCUUUGCAGCUUAAUAUUUAGAAUGUAUAGUGAGAAUUUAUGUUGCUGUCUCUAAAGAGAAACGGGAAGCAAAGUGUAUAAACCUGCACUAGCUGGUAACUAGUCAUGUGUUAUAAUACAUGAUUUACUGGGCUUUUCCCAGUACAAAUUUCAGUAGUACCUCUGAGGCAGUUAGUAUGUAAGAGUAAAUGUAUCCAUUCUGUUAGUCAUAUUUUUCUUUGUAGAAACUAGUAUGAUGUUUUGCAUCUAGGUAUAAACCAAUCUAAGUGACAGUGGGCUAUGUCUGCUCUGUUCUUUUUAAUCUUAUAUUCUUGCUCAUCAGUAUAGUAGCCUAACACCUACCUAUAAAGUUUUACUGAAAGAUAUCCUUACAAAAUAAUUCUGCAGUGUUUGAUAGUAUCAAAUUACUUUAUUUCAUGUAAAGAGUUAUUAAUAUUUGCAACAAGAGAUCUGGUCAGUCAGAAUUAAAAAGCUUUGAAAUUCCCUUCUGAGCACAAAAAUUAGGACAGUGGUUUGUACCCACAAUUAUGUAUGAAUAUACAGAUUAUAUUUAUAAUUCCACUGACUUUGUACACAUGAAAAAUCUAGAUAAGUGAUUAGUAAAAUGACAUUAAUUUUAUUGCAUAUUCCACAUGCAAAUAGUAGUGCUGCAAAAGUGGCUCCCAAUAGAUCUUGCAUAUAUGUAGUAUGUAGUCUGUCUCACAUUUCUCUCCUUUCUUUCUUAAUAUUCAACACUUAAAAGCCUAGAUAUAUUGAAGACUAAGUCCUCCCACCAAGAUUAACGGGCUAUACUUUCAGGGACCUUCAAUUCUGUGUAUUUUAACAUCUUUUAUCUGAGAAAGCAACGUGCCCCCAGGUAAUUAUACAAGUUGAUUAGUCAGUGCAAUAUACUGGUUGGUUUGUGAAAUGGUUUUGCUCUCCAUUUUAGCAGUGUAAAUCAGGAAUGUUUUCUCAUAAGUAUUAGUCUAAUAUGCAGUAAGUAAUAUAAUAGUCCGUAUUGCAUGUAAACUAUUUUUCCUAAGCAGGAUUUAAUUUGCAUGACUUUCACUUAGCAACAUGUAAGAUUUUUUUUUUCCCAAAGCUUAAGAAUCCUGCAACUAUACUCAUGGAAUGUACUUAUUCCAUGCAAAAGCAAUAGAAUUUGCUUUAAUUUCCUUCUACCUGUCUUCCUGAUGUCAGUUGUGACUAGGCUGUCACUUCUAUGAGUGGCUGCUGUUUUAUGCUGUGUAUUACGUUGUCUCCUUCCAUUUACAGCUUGAAAAAAAUAAAAAUAAAAAUUUCCAAAGCUGAGAUCAAGUUCUAUGAAAUUCUGAUAACUUUAAAUAGUCAGUAGAUCUUGAACAUAAUAAGUGAUUUUCAGGGUCUCCACAUAUAUUUAAACUAAUAGACAUAGCUUGCAGCUAUCUUCAGUUAAAACAAGUGUCACCUUGUUUCAGGUGAUAUGAGUGUAACAUCACAUUGUUAGUUUCUCUUGUAAGAUAUUUAAUUUCAAAUGUAAUAUGAGUUAAAAUAUAAAUCUGAGACAGUUGGAAAUAAAACCCCUUCCUAAAAAUAAAGAUUCAUGUUUAAUUGUAGCAGUAUUGCCUGUAUAGUCUAGAAAAACAGCAGCAAGUCAUAAAAGUUAUAAGAAUGAGCAGCAGCUUCCCUGGUACUCAGUAAGAAUUUCACUUGGUAAAUGUUGACAUGAAUUAUUAAAUGAAAUAGUAGUAAAAUAUAGUCAUUCAAAAACAGUUUCCUUCUAAAGACAUGGGAAGAAUUGUUUUGUUGAUUUUUUUUUUUCCAAAGGAAUGCUUUUGGUGUGUCUUGCUUUGCUUGAAUUAUACAACAUAAUCUCUGUACUAAAACUUCCCUAAUUCAUUUUGCAAGUAAAGAAUGCUUAUUGGAGUCGUUUUCACAACCUCACUUAAGCAGUUUUUCUUAUACAUCUUAAUUUUCCCUUCCAAACUUGUUCCGGAAGAGAAACUACUGUGAUGCAAUAGUGAGCAUGAUUCUAGUGGGCUGAAAGUACAAUGUCCACUUACUGAUUAGAUAUUCAGUGUAUCUGUCAAUGCUAGAAUAUAUGCUUUGUAAUCUGAACAUGCAGGUCUACUCCUCAAUUGAUCUGUACUCUAGCGACACAAUUUUCUUAAAUUUAAUUGUCUAGAUAUAAAGUUAAUUUAGGAUUUGAAUAAAAGAUUUAAUAGUUAACCAGAUUAGAUUUCCAGAGUAGUGAACUUUAAAGAGAAUGUCAGAUAUUACUGAUGAAGGCAUUCUACUUAGAUUUAACAGAGUCAUUAAUUUUAUCUUUAGCACUAUGUUUAGAUUUGGUUGAAAAUUUUGGGAAAAAAAUACCAAAAUAUUUUUAUUUGGUGAAACAGUUUAUCCGAAGUGAUGCAGAAUUGCUUACUUCCCUAAGUAACAUUUUUAUCUGAGUCAAAGCCAAAAAUUUACUGUCAGCCAGUAUUACAUGCAGUGGAAAGCAUGGGUAAUAGUAUAAAAAAAAAUAUCAGCCCACAGACACAGAUAUAUGUGAGUCCCUAUUGAAUAUACCUGACCAAAUAUACUUGUGUUGCUGAAGACAAAGACCUAGAUGAUGCUUCAGCCUUCAGCAAAUUCAGAAAGUGAUUUCCACUAACAUUGAAGGAGCAGGAUUACUUUUUCUGAGUAUCCUUACCGUAUCCCUUAUGUAUAAUUAAGGCUUCAUUCAUACUAACUUUAAAUGUGAUGAUGAGCUCUGUUUCCUUUCUCAUGCAAAGAAGCAUCCAUCUAAUCAAAGACCACAUAUGAAUACUUAACUUGCGCUGUGAGAGUUAGUUUUAACUACAAAGUCCUUCAAGAUGCCUGCAAAGGGAUAUAUCCUUUUCUUCUGCUCACUACACUGAUAGAAGGUGUGCACUGAGUGGUACAACACUGUAAAGCCAAACAAAAAGCUCUAUACAUAUAUGUGGAAUCUAAACUAGUACCUACCAUUUCUAUGUGUAGUUUAGACUCAGUGCUUCAUGUUAGUUUGUGUCAGUUGAAAAACAAAGCAAAACAAACAAACAAAACAAGUAAAGCCUAAACAUAAAAAUCAUCUUGAAGUUUAAUUUAAAGAAAAUUUGUAAAACCAUGUGCCAUCUUAUAUUUUGUCUGACUCAGUCCUGAUCUCUUCACAGGCUAAUAGAUUUCUUAGAAGUCAUUCAGCUCAGACUAUCACAUAAAAAUCUGUUAGAUAUGCUGAAUAUUCUUUAAAAUACAUGCCUCACUAGCUGGAAAGUCAUGUUUAUUCUUAUAGCUAUUGUUUCAAAUAAGCAAAAUAUUAGGACAUGGUUUCUAAGAGCAAAAUAUAUUACAUGGUCUUCACAAAAUUAUGGAAGCCUCAUUUCUAGGCACAAAAAACAUUAACUUUGACAAAGUGCUGAUGUGUUAGUGUUGGAAAUAUGCCUGCAGUCAUGGGUCUCGUACAGAUGACAUAAGGAAACUUUCCUGUUACUUAAAAUAAGUUAAUUAACUGGAUUUGAUCAUUUGUCAUAAGAAAAGGAACAACCAGGAUUCUUACCGUAGGAUUCAUAUCUCCACUUUAGCAAAAAAUGUAGAGAUUGCAGUAUCAUUGUCUUCAAUUGGAGCUGUGGGUGAGUAAUUAGGAAGACAGUGGGAACACGACACUGAAAUUGUAGCAGGAGUCUAUUGACCACCAAUAGAGUUUUUGGCCUGGCACCCAUUCAUAAAAUCUCUUAAGUGUAUAUCCUAAAUCCAUAGGCCCCAUUAGCUAAACUUACAAAUAUCCCAAUUUCCAUUCACUUCAGGAAACUGCAUUCAUACAAGAGAAAUACAAAUACUGUGGCCAACAGUUUAAAUCAUGUACUGCAGAAACCUUUGGGAGAUGGUGUGAUCAUGGAUGUUACUGAAUGCUGAGCAUAUCCAUUUUUUCUUCCUUUCUCUGUUCCUCUUGUUCCCACUGUGCACCUCCUCAAGUUCCUCUUCCUGCCUCAAAAACUUAAAUGCAAUAAAUCAUUUUAAAAUAAAACUUAUUAAUGACUUUCUGACAUAAACUGCCAUGUUGCACACAAGAUAGGGAAGUACACUGUAUACUUGCAUGGUUUAGGUAACAUUAAUAACAUCAAUAUUUAUAUUGCCAUAAGCUUAGCUCGCACUACAGUGUUAUUUAUGUAGUGCUAUGUUUUCCCCAGGUAUUCUUCCUGUCAACUUCCUUUCUGGCUUUUGGAAGGUAAACACACCUUCAAAAAGUGAAGUACAAAGUCUUACGUAUGGAGUUUCCAUUCUUUUAAUUUUAUAUCUAUAAAAAAUAAUGACCUUCAUGAAGCCAUCUGCAUCUAUGCAGUGCCUUAAACUGAGAAUCUUUGAGAUUAUUAAUAGCAAUAACAUUAUCACAGUAAUGUGAGAAUUGUAUCUGUCCAGAUUGUAUGUCACUGAUGAAACAGCACUGGAAAAUGUGCUUAUCUGCUUUGGUCUGAAGUAUAAGUAUUAAAUCAAAGCAUCUAUUUCAAAUACUUCUCAAGCAUUUUGAGCAAGAUUCUGGAGAGUUGCUGUCAUCAGAAAAUUAUUGUGUUUAUUGAGAAAAUAUUGAAGAUGUCCCAGAUAGGCUUCCACUGAUUUUUAGGUGUUGUUGCAAAAAUGUUAAAAGAGAUUUGGUGCUUGCAAGUCUUUAUGAUAAGUUUUCAUUUUGUUUUUUUUUUUUUAGUAAAGUAAGAGCAAACAAGAAUAAAAGGAAGUUAUUUUAAACAAAUAUCUGAAUGACUUUGUUGCUUCUGAGAAAAAAAGGUUUAAAUCUGCCAGAAAAAUUGAGUUUCUCUAGACUGAAUAAAAAUACAGUAAUUUUUUUCACUGACUGUUUCCCAGUAUACAAGGAUUUGGGACAAUGAGUGUUAUCAUUGUUUAUUAGUAUGAGCCCCUUACAAAUAAACAAAUUUCGUUAAAGCAUUUCUAGAUCAAGUAUCUAAGUAGUGUAUAUUACCAUCAUGGUCUUUGGUGAAAAUAGCCUAAGAUUAGCUCUAUCUUUCUAUACACAUUUUAUUUAGAGUUUACUUGAUUCUGUUUUGAUAUUACACUCUUAUUUUCAUUCCCUGUAUCAUUAAUACUAUGCUGGAGUUUUUUGAAGGGGACUGUAUCAUGCUACUUACCUAAACUUAUAUUACUGAAAUAUUGAAUGAUGACCAUUGCUGUGAAAUCAUGGGAAAUAAGGUACCUUUGAGGGCAAAAACUAUUACUAGCACCACUAACAAAGCAGCCUUUAAAAUGUUAGUAAUUGAAGAGCCAUUUAGUAAAACUGUGCUUGUGUGAUUAGAGAAGGAAGAAGCGUAUUAUAGAAACUGCAGUGGAAUUCUGUCUUUGCAAAAAGCAGUGAGGACUUUGUGCUGACUUCAGAUAAUUCCAUCCACUCCUAUGUCUUAAUCCAUCUGGCUCUGCCAAUGACUCAUUAAGCCUACUUGCUUAAGUCAUUUAACUUUUCAUCUUCUUUGUUUAAGAGUACUGACCAAUCCCAGAAGAUUUCUUCAAA
This 8511-nucleotide long non-coding RNA is filed under the name Gallus gallus (chicken). The record is from RNAcentral. Lineage: Eukaryota; Metazoa; Chordata; Aves; Galliformes; Phasianidae.